CAGUAGCCGCGGUAAUACGUAGGUCCCGAGCGUUGUCCGGAUUUAUUGGGCGUAAAGGGAGCGCAGGCGGUUUAGUAAGUCUGAAGUUAAAGGCAUUGGCUCAACCAAUGUAUGCUUUGGAAACUGUUAGGCUUGAGUGCAGAAGGGGAGAGUGGAAUUCCAUGUGUAGCGGUGAAAUACGUAGAUAUAUGGAGGAACGCCGGUGGCGAAAGCGGCUCUCUGGCUUGUAACUGACGCUGAGGCUCGGAAGCGUGGGGAGCAAACAGGAUUAGAUACCCCGGUAGUCCCUGUCUCUUAUACC
Molecule: ribosomal RNA, 301 nt
Filed under: uncultured bacterium
Lineage: Bacteria
Description: partial 16S ribosomal RNA
Rfam family: Bacterial small subunit ribosomal RNA
Source: RNAcentral